Molecule: unclassified non-coding RNA, 3039 nt
Filed under: Hevea brasiliensis (rubber tree)
Lineage: Eukaryota; Viridiplantae; Streptophyta; Magnoliopsida; Malpighiales; Euphorbiaceae
Source: RNAcentral
AGGGAUGCCACGCAAAGAGAUUUUUUUGGAUAAUAACAUCAUUAAGCUUGUUAUGAGUGGAAAUGUUCGUUCAGUGACUUGGACUUUCACAAUUUAACUAAUCUGCAAUUACAUACAGAUAAGAGAUAUACAUGUUCCCAUCUAUUAGUGCCAAGGCCCCAGUUGCCCACGAUUUACCAUGCGCUACCCUUUUUUUUCCUCCCAAGUGAAUAUUUCGGAAGCGGACUUCUGCAACUCUUACAUGGUUUUUACUCAUCAAAAGUAAAUAUUGUUUGGAUUCACAUUGAAAAGGUCUGCAUAACGAAACGUAGUGAAUAAGGACAUCACACUUUACAGGCUUCCAUCUAAAUCUGACCAAGUCCCGUCACACUAACCAGUACUUGAAUCGUGUCAGCCCAGAUUGUCCUCAUUCAAACACUCAGCUAUUACAUGUCGCAAUUGAAGCAUCUUUUCCCUUGCCGACUUGUGCACGGCUGUGAUUCUUCUGUGUGCAUCACUAAGCUGUGUUUCAGCUGCUUCUUCCACCUUCAUGAAAAGCUUCUGGUGCAUUGCUUUUUGCUUUUUCACAGUUCCCUUCAACUCAUUAUGGUGCAUUUCUAGCUCUUCAACUGUUCUUUUACAGUCGUGGAGAUGUUGGUGGAUAUCUUCUUUGAAUUUAUCAUGUAUCAACUUCAGUUUUUCUUGUUGCUCCUGUAAUCUUGUCUCCAAGCGUUUUCUUUUUGAUUUACUAAUGCUUGUCAGCUUCCCAAUAUCUGUUUGGAUUUGUGACUCAAUAUUCUGCAGUUGUAGAUGUAUAUGCUCAGAAACAGACAUCAAAAUUUCAGAGGAUUUCUUUCUAGUUACUGACUUCAUUUUGUUUUUGAAGUUUUCUAAAGCCAGGACAAACAGUUUGACGACCCUUUCCAAUUCAUUCUUUUGGCAUUGUUCUGCAGGCUCUGGGUUCCAGUCACUUUCCCCAGUACCUUUCGGAGAGGGUGAGGUGGAGACAAAUUGGGGAACACCAUUGCCUUCAUGAUUGCGGAGCCUUUUACUUGGAUAAAGCGUGAAAGUGGAUCUCUCAGCUGUUGCAGUUUCUGGAGAUAAGGCAUCUCUUUCUGUAUGAUCUUCUUCAAAGCUCUUAGAAUCCCCAUCUUCAGAUGAUGAUUCGGAAAGACCGACUUCUACUUCUUUUCUUCCCGUGAGAGGUGAUGACUUGUGGCACGGAGAAUCUUUAAGUUCCACUGCAUCAUCAGAUGAUUCUUUUUUAGUAUAUGGGGAAUGACAAUCUGCCUUUGAAGUCCGCAAAGUCCUGAAGCUGCGAAUGUUUCCCAGAGUAUAUCUUCCCUCUGCUGGUGCAGGACUAUAAAUAGUCCGCUCUAAUUGGUCAGUUUUUGGCGUUGAGCUAGGGGAAGAACUUAAGAUAGGAGUAUUUAUUUUGAAUGUCGGACUUCCGAAUUCAAACUGUGGUUCCAUGAUAUUCUUUAAGGAAGGACUAACAAAAUCUUCCUUUUGACCCUCAUUUUCUUGUACUGCUGGAAUGCUAAAAUCUCCUUGCAGAUCCACCCUGUUUGUCCCUAAAGACUGAUGGGACUCUCUACUUGGAGAUUGAUGGGAAUCUCUUUCUUGGUCUAUAUUCUUCUGCUCAAGGCACUGUCCUUUACUUUGAGGCAAACAGCCACGAAAGUUUUCCAUUUUAUCACCAAGCGGUGAUGCUUUCUCAGUCUCAGCAUCUGGUAGAAUUUUACUCCAAUGAGUGGCUGCCUGAAUCUCAUCUAUAUUUUUGUUCUCAGUGAAGUGAAUCCUGCGGGGCUCAAUGCCAGAACUCUUUCUCCUACCCUUAUUUCUUGUAGAUAUUAUGGAGCCACCACUAAAAGCAACAUCUCCUUUUCCAAACAAUCCUUCUUCAAAGGUGAAGAUAUUCUUCUCCUUAAGUUUGUUUCUGUAACUGGAUGAUGGGCCAAUUUUAGUCUUUACCGGCUGCACUUUGGUUGAAACUCUUUUUCUGGUCAGAGAACAGGUUAUUGGUCUCCUCACAGGAUGAUCAGGAUUUUCAGAAUCAGUUUCUAUGGUGUCUGAAUUCUGUACAGGCUUGACAACUGCAUCACAAUUUUGAGCAGGAAUUUUCUCCUGCUUUACAUUAUUUGCGCCUGCCUCACGAGCCUGAGAAUUAGAGGGCUGACUUCUAGGUGAAGAAACAGUUCCCAAUAUCUCGCAUAGUUUCAUUCUCAAAGUUUCAGUUCUAUGUUCUUUGUUAUCGUUUGUCACUGCUUUAUUCACAGCUACUUCCUGUGCAGUCACAAAUCUAAAUUCCUCUGCCCUCUGCGAGUUCCCAUCCCUACCUCCCUUCCUUCUGUAGGUAAGUCCAUCAAACUUCUUUUGCAUGCUAUCACCAGAACGCAAAACUGACAUCUGGUGCUCAAAAAGCUGUACUGAAUGUGUUACUGGUGCAUCCUGUUCUCUGAUAAACUUGUUCCUCUUCUUACUGGUGGCUGGUAAAUUGGAAGUUUCUUUUGCAGAAGCAAGAGUCUGUGAAGUUGAUGUUUUUCGGUGAAAGGAUCUAGAAGUAAUCCAUGGGGAAGUGACUAUCUCUGGAGCUUCAGUUUGUUUGCUUUCAUUAGCACCAACAACACCUUUCCUCUUGUUUUUACCUCCAAGAGAAUUUUCUUUCUUAGAAUUUUUCGUUUCCAAACUUGAUGUAGCAAUAGCAUCUUCCUUUGAAGCUUCAGAUCUUUUCUUCACCUGUGAGUCUAUCAUAAUUCCAAUUGAAAUCUUUCUAGAUUGACAGGAUGGGUGAUGAUUACUGCCAAAACUCCGACAAUCAGUCAUUCGAUCAUCUUGUAAAUUCUGUCUUGUAUCAACCUCCAUUUUGUGGUUUUCAGCUGAGAAUGUAUGAAACGGACGCCAGAAGAAGUUACUUGGUAGAGAUAAUCGCCAGGCUGAAUCAAAACUUCACACGAUGUUUUUGAUGGGAGAAUCAGAUAAAACUAAGCCUUCAACUACAGAAAGGGAGAGAGAAUUUUGAAAUUUUUGUUUCGUGAUUUUGGAAUACGAUGAGGCGGG